This 537-nucleotide ribosomal RNA is filed under the name uncultured bacterium. RNAcentral's name for it is "bacterial SSU rRNA". It matches the Rfam family "Bacterial small subunit ribosomal RNA", at positions 505 to 1025 of the family's 1533-position model. The record is from RNAcentral.
GUGCCAGCAGCCGCGGUAAUACGUAUGGGUGCUAGCGUUGUCGCGGAAUUACUGGGCGUAAAAGGGCGUGUAUGCGGUAGAGCCAAAGUCAAAUGUAAAACCCCCGGGGCUCAACUUCGGGGCAAUGCAUCUUGAAACUGCAAAUACUUGAGGUGCAGGAGGAGGGAAGCGGAAUUUCUGGUGUAGCGGUGGAAUGCGUAGAUAGUCAGGAAGAACACCGGUUGGCGAAGGCGGCUUUCUGGCCUGCAACUGACGCUGAGGCGCGAAAGCGUGGGGAGCGAACAGGAUUAGAUACCCUGGUAGUCCACGCUGUAAACGAUGGAUACUAGGUGUAGGUGGUAUCAAAGCCAUCUGUGCCGAAGUAAACACAUUAAGUAUCCCGCCUGGGGAGUACGGCCGCAAGGUUGAAACUCAAAGGAAUUGACGGGGGCCCGCACAAGCAGCGGAGCGUGUGGUUUAAUUCGAAGCAACGCGAAGAACCUUACCAGGUAUUGACAUGCAUAUGAAUUAUGCAGAAAUGCAUAAGGCUUAUCGAAA